Molecule: ribosomal RNA, 500 nt
Filed under: uncultured bacterium
Lineage: Bacteria
Description: bacterial SSU rRNA
Rfam family: Bacterial small subunit ribosomal RNA
Source: RNAcentral
AUCCUGGCUCAGGAUGAACGCUGGCGGCGUGCCUAACACAUGCAAGUCGAACGGAGUUAUGAUGUGAGCGGGAAGUGCUUGCACUAAACAAUCUUUUCAUAACUUAGUGGCGGACGGGUGAGUAACGCGUGGGUAACCUGCCCUGUACUGGGGGACAACAGUUGGAAACGACUGCUAAUACCGCAUAAGCGCACGGGAUCGCAUGAUCUAGUGUGAAAAACUCCGGUGGUACAGGAUGGACCCGCGUCUGAUUAGCUGGUUGGUGAGGUAACGGCCCACCAAGGCAACGAUCAGUAGCCGGCCUGAGAGGGUGAACGGCCACAUUGGGACUGAGACACGGCCCAAACUCCUACGGGAGGCAGCAGUGGGGAAUAUUGCACAAUGGGGGAAACCCUGAUGCAGCGACGCCGCGUGAGUGAAGAAGUAUUUCGGUAUGUAAAGCUCUAUCAGCAGGGAAGAAAAUGACGGUACCUGACUAAGAAGCCCCGGCUAACUACGUG